CUGAUUCAAAUUUGCCGAGUAGGGCCGUAGUUGAGAGCAAUGAUUGAUUUGCUAGAAUGACAUGUAAUCGGCCGAGUCGAUUGAUCGCUGUGACGAUCCAAGUGGUUGAAUUGUUUGGAUAAUGUGAUUGUGACAUGGUUGUUUGGUUAUCAUAAUUGUACGUGGUUGGAUUAUAUAAAUUGUGCUAACCUGCAGAUGAAGGCUGAGGCGAGGUAAGUCUUCUGUGUGAUGUGGCUAGGCCACCCUUGGGCGUAUUUUCUUUCU
RNAcentral lists this long non-coding RNA (264 nucleotides) under Eucalyptus grandis. Its description in RNAcentral is "long non-coding RNA (EGRA_LNC004484)". The record is from RNAcentral. Lineage: Eukaryota; Viridiplantae; Streptophyta; Magnoliopsida; Myrtales; Myrtaceae.